Molecule: transfer RNA, 64 nt
Filed under: Marmota marmota marmota (Alpine marmot)
Lineage: Eukaryota; Metazoa; Chordata; Mammalia; Rodentia; Sciuridae
Also listed under: 3 other names
Rfam family: tRNA
About the family: Transfer RNA (tRNA) molecules are approximately 80 nucleotides in length.
Source: Rfam by way of RNAcentral
GUGUAACUCAGUGAUAAGAGUGCUUGCCUAGCAUGCAUAAGACCCUGGGUUCAAACCCCAACAC